GUUCUCCUCGGGACUCUUUUAUUUCUUCCUUGUGGUUUUCUAUUGGCAGGGCCUCCUUCAGUUUCUUGCCUUGGAGUGUAGCGAGGAAGCACUGCUGAGCAAGCAUUUGAUCUCCUCGAAUUUCUCCAACCCCAUAUCGGAUCAGAAACUUGACCAUCAGAUGAUAUGUGGAGAUGAUUGCUCGAAAUGCAUUAAGUCCAGAUCAUCCUAGGAUUAAGUUGUAAGUAGAGGACACUCGAAUGACUAGGAAAGUCAGCUACUCAAUUUGUUGCCGUGGCUCCAUUCCAACAGUCACUGAGAGAGUGAUUUUUCCUUCUACUGUCAUGGAGUCUCUUGAAAAUCUGAC
RNAcentral lists this long non-coding RNA (346 nucleotides) under Elaeis guineensis (African oil palm). Its description in RNAcentral is "long non-coding RNA (EGUI_LNC069904)". The record is from RNAcentral. Lineage: Eukaryota; Viridiplantae; Streptophyta; Magnoliopsida; Arecales; Arecaceae.